This is a non-coding RNA of Oryctolagus cuniculus (rabbit), 701 nucleotides long. The record is from RefSeq and is a predicted model, not a curated record. NCBI's taxonomy places the organism in Eukaryota, Metazoa, Chordata, Mammalia, Lagomorpha, Leporidae.
AGGGCUGGGGGAGGGGGAAGGGAGCGUGUGUGUGUGUGUGUGCGCGCGCGCGCGAGUGGUCCCCUGGCCUCGAAAGGCAGAUCCAGCUCUGCACGAAGAAGGAAUUUUAAGCAACAAGAGUUGUGCAAGGGAACGGCUGGCUUGAAUCCCAGCCACAGCUCCGCCUGGGGGUUCAGAGCACGGGGCCUUGGCUUCAGAACUGAACGCUCCACGCUCCACGGCCGUCCAGAUCUGCGGCCUUAGAUAAGGCCGGCCAUCUGCAGCCCCGGGCCAGUCCCUCCGCUGUGAGAUGGGCCUGAAGCUGCCGUACCCUGCAGGUGGGGCGCCGAAGACGAAGCCGCUGAGGUUACGCAUAAAGCAUCCACGGUGUGCCUGGCCCCCCGGAGGCACCGGAGAAACGCCGGCGGCUGCUGCUGCUGCUGCUGUCACAGGAGGAGAUGUGUGAAGACAAAGACCCAUCUCCUUAAAAACCCCCAGCCUCAACCGGACAGCGGACAGCGGACAGGACAGCGGACAGUGCGCUCAGCCCUCUGCCUCUCUGCUGAGCCGCCCGCCUGGCCUGGCCAGGUGUCGUCUCUCCACUCAAUCAUGUAACCUCGCUGCCCCCCCCCCCCCAGUCUCUCAGGCUCUGUCUGGGGGGUGCCCAUCCAUCCUUAUGGAUGUCCCUGCCCUAAUAAACCUUGCUAUUUUACCUCCUACUA